AGAUUGAACGCUGGCGGCAGGCCUAACACAUGCAAGUCGAGCGGUAGAGAGGUGCUUGCAUCUCUUGAGAGCGGCGGACGGGUGAGUAAUGCCUAGGAAUCUGCCUAGUGGUGGGGGAUAACGUUCGGAAACGGACGCUAAUACCGCAUACGUCCUACGGGAGAAAGCGGGGGACCUUCGGGCCUCGCGCCAUUAGAUGAGCCUAGGUCGGAUUAGCUAGUUGGUGAGGUAAUGGCUCACCAAGGCGACGAUCCGUAACUGGUCUGAGAGGAUGAUCAGUCACACUGGAACUGAGACACGGUCCAGACUCCUACGGGAGGCAGCAGGUGGGGAAUUUUGGACAAGUGGGACGAAAGCC
Molecule: ribosomal RNA, 358 nt
Filed under: uncultured soil bacterium
Lineage: Bacteria
Description: bacterial SSU rRNA
Rfam family: Bacterial small subunit ribosomal RNA
Source: RNAcentral